UACGUAGGGUGCGAGCGUUAAUCGGAAUUACUGGGCGUAAAGCGUGCGCAGGCUGUUCGCCAAGUCAGGUGUGAAAUCCCCGGGCUUAACCUGGGAAUUGCGCUUGAAACUAGCGGGCUUGAGUGUGGCAGAGGGGGGUGGAAUUCCACGUGUAGCAGUGAAAUGCGUAGAGAUGUGGAGGAACACCGAUGGCGAAGGCAGCCCCCUGGGUCAACACUGACGCUCAUGCACGAAAGCGUGGGGAGCAAACAGG
Molecule: ribosomal RNA, 253 nt
Filed under: uncultured bacterium
Lineage: Bacteria
Description: partial 16S ribosomal RNA
Rfam family: Bacterial small subunit ribosomal RNA
Source: RNAcentral